RNAcentral lists this transfer RNA (72 nucleotides) under Candidatus Woesearchaeota archaeon. RNAcentral describes it as "tRNA-Tyr". The stretch from base 5 to 67 matches the Rfam family "tRNA", at positions 5 to 66 of the family's 71-position model. From Rfam's summary of the family: Transfer RNA (tRNA) molecules are approximately 80 nucleotides in length. Their secondary structure includes four short double-helical elements and three loops (D, anti-codon, and T loops). The record is from RNAcentral. Lineage: Archaea; Nanobdellati; Candidatus Woesearchaeota.
CCCCCCGUAGCUUAGUGGCUAAAGCGUUCGGCUGUAGACCGAAAGAUCCCCGGUUCGAAUACAGCGGUCUGA